Molecule: ribosomal RNA, 478 nt
Filed under: uncultured bacterium
Lineage: Bacteria
Description: partial 16S ribosomal RNA
Rfam family: Bacterial small subunit ribosomal RNA
Source: RNAcentral
GAUGAACGCUAGCGGCAGGCCUAACACAUGCAAGUCGAGGGAGAAGCCCUUUCGGGGGCAGAAACCGGCGCACGGGUGCGUAACGCGUAUGCAACCUACCUUUCACAGGGGGAUAGCCCGAAGAAAUUUGGAUUAAUACCCCAUAAUAUUAUUGGAUGGCAUCAUUUGAUAAUUAAAACUGCGGUGGUGAAAGAUGGGCAUGCGUCCUAUUAGCUAGUUGGAGUGGUAACGGCACCCCAAGGCUACGAUAGGUAGGGGUCCUGAGAGGGAGAUCCCCCACACUGGUACUGAGACAGGGACCAGACUCCUACGGGGGGCAGCAGUGAGGAAUAUUGGUCAAUGGUCGGAAGACUGAACCAGCCAUGCCGCGUGCAGGAAGAAUGCCUUAUGGGUUGUAAACUGCUUUUAUAUGGGAAGAAUAAGGCGUACGUGUACGUUGAUGACGGUACCAUAUGAAUAAGCAUCGGCUAACUCCGUG